GAGUUUGAUCAUGGCUCAGAUUGAACGCUGGCGGCGUGCCUAACACAUGCAAGUCGAGCGGUAGCAGGUGUAGCAAUACAUGCUGACGAGCGGCGGACGGGUGAGUAACGCUUGGGAAUCUGCCUAUUAGUGGGGGACAACCCGGGGAAACUCGGGCUAAUACCGCAUACGCACUACGGUGGAAAGCCGGGGACCGCAAGGCCUGGCGCUAAUAGAUGAGCCCAAGUCGGAUUAGCUAGUUGGUAGGGUAAUGGCCUACCAAGGCUACGAUCCGUAACUGGUCUGAGAGGACGACCAGUCACACCGGAACUGAGACACGGUCCGGACUCCUACGGGAGGCAGCAGUGGGGAAUAUUGGACAAUGGGCGAAAGCCUGAUCCAGCGACGCCGCGUGGGUGAAGAAGGCCUGCGGGUUGUAAAGCCCUUUCGGUAGGGAGAAAGCCUCGACCUAACACGUCGGGGUAUUGACGUAACCUACUAAAGAAGCACCGGCUAACUCUGUGCC
RNAcentral lists this ribosomal RNA (505 nucleotides) under uncultured Gammaproteobacteria bacterium. RNAcentral's name for it is "bacterial SSU rRNA". It matches the Rfam family "Bacterial small subunit ribosomal RNA", at positions 9 to 509 of the family's 1533-position model. Lineage: Bacteria; Pseudomonadati; Pseudomonadota; Gammaproteobacteria. The record is from RNAcentral.